Molecule: long non-coding RNA, 985 nt
Organism: Lolium rigidum
Lineage: Eukaryota; Viridiplantae; Streptophyta; Magnoliopsida; Poales; Poaceae
Exons: 2
Source: RefSeq, a predicted model, not a curated record
GUGGCAGCCUGUGGACAUGUGGGAGAAAUAGUUGUGAGAGCGUCCACAAUCCUUAACUUGUUGAUAUGUAAUUUUUUAGUUUGCUUACCUAAAUGAUCACAAUUUUGAUUAUCAUGGAUAUAAUAUACUCCAUCCAAGUCAAUUUAUAUUUCACAACAUAUAAUGAUGGUGUUUUCACCUACCGCGGUGGGUAGCUCUUUUUGAACUGCUAUGUGUUCACUUCACUGUUGUCCUUGCCCAUGUUGUGUUCAGUGGCUACUACUGGAGCUACUGCGCUUUCCUCUUUUGUCUAGGGAGUUCAAAGCCUGAAGCAACUUUACACACGAGUGACCUCACGCAGGAUGGGAAUGCCAAAAUGGUGAAAGAAUCUUUGGGUAUACUUUAGGAAGAGGGAUAACUCUAAAUGAGCUGCUGAAGAAGAAAGUUUAGGAGAAAGUCCAAGCAAUUGCUUCUGAAGUUCCCAUCUAUGAGGCAGUGAUGACCAAAUGCUGUGUUGGUGGCAACCUCUUUUCUCUGGCAUUCUGCAAGGGAUAUGCUUCAGCUUAUCUUCGAAGAAGACAUCAAACUCUCACGCUUCAGUUGGAGACAAGGAGUGGGACACUACAUUACACGUCAGGCCAAACAGUAAAGCCAUUCAUGGAGGCUGGUCGGAGUUUGCCAUCAAUAGUGACCUUCACCUGGGAGAUAUUUGCUUCUUUGCAAAGAGGGGCACCAGAAGUCUUGUGAUGAGGAUCCAUUUCGUUAGCAAGUCAGGCAUACUGUUGUAGCUCAAGCUUCCUAGUUCGUGUUGCUGUUCCGAGUACUGGAAUUAUCUAUGGUCCGUAUGGCCUAAACUCGCUGAUAUGCUGCCAUUUAUGUACAUUUUGUUUAGGUUUUUUACUGUUUGUUAUGAAACCUUGUAGUAUCCAAACUGAGGAAAGUUGAAUUCUGCUCUGCCUCCAAUAUCGUUUACGAUAACUGAUUAUGAUGUCUACAGGUGAUCAAA